AGUGGAAUUGCUAGAUUAUAUUCUUAAUUUUUUGAGGAAUUGUCAUAUUGUUUUCCAUAGCAACUACACUAUUUUACAUUCCCACCAGUAAU
This 92-nucleotide microRNA precursor is filed under the name Marmota monax (woodchuck). Lineage: Eukaryota; Metazoa; Chordata; Mammalia; Rodentia; Sciuridae. The record is from RNAcentral.